UGGAAGAAAAAGUCGUAACAAGGUUUCCGUAGGUGAACCUGCGGAAGGAUCAUUACAGAAUGAAAAGUGCUUAACUGCAUUUUUUCUUACACAUGUGUUUUUCUUUUUUUGAAAACUUUGCUUUGGUAGGCCUUCUAUAUGGGGCCUGCCAGAGAUUAAACUCAACCAAAUUUUAUUUAAUGUCAACCGAUUAUUUAAUAGUCAAAACUUUCAACAACGGAUCUCUUGGUUCUCGCAUCGAUGAAGAACGCAGCGAAAUGCGAUAAGUAAUAUGAAUUGCAGAUAUUCGUGAAUCAUCGAAUCUUUGAACGCACAUUGCGCCCUUUGGUAUUCCAAAGGGCAUGCCUGUUUGAGCGUCAUUUCUCCCUCAAACCCUCGGGUUUGGUGUUGAGCGAUACGCUGGGUUUGCUUGAAAGAAAGGCGGAGUAUAAACUAAUGGAUAGGUUUUUUCCACUCAUUGGUACAAACUCCAAAACUUCUUCCAAAUUCGACCUCAAAUCAGGUAGGACUACCCGCUGAACUUAAGCAUAUCAAUAAGGCGGAGGAA
This 547-nucleotide ribosomal RNA is filed under the name Lodderomyces parapsilosis. RNAcentral describes it as "eukaryotic LSU rRNA". The stretch from base 206 to 359 matches the Rfam family "5.8S ribosomal RNA". The record is from RNAcentral. Lineage: Eukaryota; Fungi; Ascomycota; Pichiomycetes; Serinales; Debaryomycetaceae.